RNAcentral lists this ribosomal RNA (279 nucleotides) under uncultured bacterium. Its description in RNAcentral is "partial 16S ribosomal RNA". It matches the Rfam family "Bacterial small subunit ribosomal RNA", at positions 506 to 784 of the family's 1533-position model. The record is from RNAcentral.
UGCCAGCAGCCGCGGUAAUACGAAGGGUGCAAGCGUUGUUCGGAUUUAUUGGGCGUAAAGCGCGCGCAGGCGGAUAGGUAAGUCAGAUGUGAAAUCUCGGGGCUCUACCUCGAAACUGCGUCUGAAACUACUUAUCUAGAAUCUCGGAGAGGGAAGUGGAAUUUCGCAUGUAGGGGUAAAAUCCGUAGAGAUGCGAAGGAACACCGGAGGCGAAGGCGGCUUCCUGGACGAGUAUUGACGCUGAGGCGCGAAAGCGUGGGGAGCAAACAGGAUUAGAUA